UAACGAGGAUUCCUCUAGUAACGGCGAGUGAACGAGGAAAAGCCCAGCGCUGAAUCCCAUGGCCACCGGCUAUUUGGGAGGUGUAGCGUAUACGUGUUUUCCUACUGAUUGCCUUGUUCACCCAAAGUCUCCUUGAGCGGGGCUACAGUCCAAAGAGGGUGCUAGACCUGUGCGGGUGGCUGGACAUUUGGUGUUGCGAACACACGUUGGAGUCGGGUUGCCUGAGAUCGCAGCCCAAAUUUGGUGGUAAACUCCAUCUAAGGCUAAAUAUUGCCACGAGACCAAUAGCAAACAAGUACCGUGAGGGAAAGUUGCAAAGAACUUUGAAGAGAGAGUUCAAGAGGGCGUGAAACCACUGAGAUUGAAACGGAUAGAGUUGACGAAACCGUUUAGCAUUCAGCCAAUUGGCAUAACCGUUUUGCGUUUUCGAUCUUUUUUUCUUUUGAAAAAAAGAAGAAAGGCGGAUAUGUGACAACGUGCUACGCUGGUUGGUGUAUUUGCUAUCGGUAUGCGCUGAAGGUUUUGUUUGCGCGCGUUGACCGUCGUGUAGUGGACCGUGCUCUUUGAGCGUGGAACCCUGCGUGAUGUGAAGCACGUUGUUAAUAAAAUCACUAUGCCAUUUACACGUAUUUUGUCUAGUGUUUUUCCAAAAUUAGCAGUGCGUAGUUCGUCGCUUGCGACAUAGCUGUGCAUGCUGCAAAUUUUGGGGCACAUGAACAAGU
Molecule: ribosomal RNA, 722 nt
Filed under: Rondonia rondoni
Lineage: Eukaryota; Metazoa; Nematoda; Chromadorea; Rhabditida; Atractidae
Description: eukaryotic LSU rRNA
Rfam family: Eukaryotic large subunit ribosomal RNA
Source: RNAcentral